GUUUCUUUAAAAGAUUAGCACAGAUGGCACAGUUAAGUUUUUCCUUAGUGUCAUUUCCAAAGUAAAUCUGUUACAGAGGUCGUUCUAUGAUUUUUGAAGCAAAGUUCAAGAUUGGAUUAUUAAGAUGUGCCAUUGUGAAACACUGGUCUUUUUCUCCUUUCUGUAGUUAACCAUAAAAUUCUGUCUGCUGAAAUGACACUAGAUAUUAACACGUCAUUGGAGGAGGGGAGGUGGACCGGUGACCCAGGCCUUCCCACGUUCACAGUCUCUUUUCCACCGACUCAAGUGACAGCCACCACCCCAAAGGGACCCUGUUUUGGGUCAGGUUAAGAAGUCUACCUUUUAUGAAUUUGUAGGUAAGACUAGAGUUUUUGUGUUGCAAAAAAAUCGCAUACAUUGUAUGUGAGUCAAAUUUUGUAUGGAAUAGUCUCUCAAAUUGUAUC
This 443-nucleotide long non-coding RNA is filed under the name Bos taurus (domestic cattle). RNAcentral describes it as "long non-coding RNA NONBTAT019121". Lineage: Eukaryota; Metazoa; Chordata; Mammalia; Artiodactyla; Bovidae. The record is from RNAcentral.